RNAcentral lists this ribosomal RNA (327 nucleotides) under uncultured eukaryote. Its description in RNAcentral is "partial 18S ribosomal RNA". It matches the Rfam family "Eukaryotic small subunit ribosomal RNA", at positions 1470 to 1796 of the family's 1831-position model. The record is from RNAcentral.
CCCUUAGAUGUUCUGGGCCGCACGCGCGCUACACUGAUUCAUGCAACAAGUUUUGUCCUUGGCUGAUAGGCCUGGGUAAUCUUUGAACGUGAAUCGUGAUGGGGAUAGAUGAUUGCAAUUAUUCAUCUUCAACGAGGAAUUCCUAGUAAACGCAAGUCAUCAGCUUGCAUUGAUUACGUCCCUGCCCUUUGUACACACCGCCCGUCGCACCUACCGAUUGAAUGGUCCGGUGAAAUCUUCGGAUCUGAGAGAUGUCUGAUUAAUUUCGGACGCUUUUUGGAAAAGUUGUUUAAACCUUACCAUUUAGAGGAAGGUGAAGUCGUAACA